This 90-nucleotide microRNA precursor is filed under the name Canis lupus dingo (dingo). RNAcentral's name for it is "mir-8799 microRNA precursor family". It matches the Rfam family "mir-8799 microRNA precursor family". Lineage: Eukaryota; Metazoa; Chordata; Mammalia; Carnivora; Canidae. The record is from Rfam by way of RNAcentral.
GGGGGGAGGCCGGAUCCUGGGCUGUGUCCCAGCGCUCUGUGCUCCGGGGCCUGCCCUGUUGGAUUCGGGCUCCCGGCUGUGCAGCCCCCU